AGUCACUCCAAGCAAACGAUGCGGUGACUCACUUCGAAUGGUUAUACGCAUGCGUAGGGCGUACAAAGUUACGCAAGCGUAUUGAUAUCAAAAUUAGUAAUAGCUAUGCCUAGAUUAUUUCGUUCAAGUCGCAACGCAUUUAAUUUCAUCGGUCGUCAUGGCCACCGAUCUCAAUCUCGAUCUGUUCGCCGACGUUUCCCUUCUCUCGUCGGUGGUCAUGGACCGAGCUAUGUGGCGUCCCUGGCUCCCCGGGGGGUUCGUAUGCGAGCUCUGAGACGUGUAGACAACAAGUAUGGAGCUUGUUUGUGGACGAGCUAUGAGGCACUGCUGACCACGUCAGAAGCCGAUUUGACGUCAUAUGAGAGGAGUUUGCUUGCUAGCGCGCGCGGCGUGCUAUCCUUAUUGGGGUUAGACAGUGGAAAGCGUUCGAGGAGGCGCUUAUUUUGACUUAUGUGUUGGACUUGUUGAGGACUAGAUGCAUGGAAGGUACAGCGGAAGGGUGAAUGGCAGCCAUGCUUCAAAUCAAGGGACAUCUACUUGUCCGUGUCUACGUCGAGAUGUCCAUGGAGCUGAUUUUCAUAUAAUAGAAAGACUUAAAGUGUUUCAGAUGUAACUGUAGCUGUAGCCGCAUGAAUAAUGUACAGUACAGUACAAGUUUAGUGACUCAACUGACUCUGCAUGCUUUCUUGGUCGUUGAACUACUGCUUGAUGCUUGGAAGCAUAACUUGGAA
Corticium candelabrum is the source of this 731-nucleotide long non-coding RNA. RefSeq lists it as uncharacterized. The record is from RefSeq and is a predicted model, not a curated record. NCBI's taxonomy places the organism in Eukaryota, Metazoa, Porifera, Homoscleromorpha, Homosclerophorida, Plakinidae. The transcript has 2 exons.